GGCUUCUUUUUUUUUACGUUUUAUUACGCGUGUCAUGGAACAACAACGUCUUCUCACGCGCUGGGGCUUCACAAUUCCGUGGCGCAAAGAGGACAGCUGGUCGGCGUUAUCGCUGCGCACGGCCAUGCUUGGCUCGCACCACCAUGCCCCGUCUGAUUGGUGAAGUGAAGCAGCCACGGGCAUAUAGGAGCUAGCACUGGGGUCAUGGCUCGGGGACCCCGGAGUGCCGUACGCACGCCCAUCAGGAAGUUCUCCUCUGCGUGGUGUCUUCUGGCGCGCGCCAGCUGCUGGAGGCGUGCUGUGCCGGCUUCGCGCGUGUGACGCACCACGAUCACGUGAAGUGAUAAGGAGGCCUCCUGCUGGCACCCCAGGACUUUUAACUAACGCUAUUAUUGUUACAGUUUCUGUACUUUAUUG
RNAcentral lists this unclassified non-coding RNA (417 nucleotides) under Trypanosomatidae sp. LW-2010B1. RNAcentral's name for it is "partial trans-spliced leader; may also contain exon sequence". Lineage: Eukaryota; Euglenozoa; Kinetoplastea; Trypanosomatida; Trypanosomatidae. The record is from RNAcentral.